GCUGUGGCUAAUCACAAUCUCUGAAUGCGCAGCACAACCAUCUGACAGGCGGCUCUCCUCUCCCUCAGCCUGGAGAUGGUCCCAGAUUGUCAUGAGACAGACCACCUUGCUCCUAGUGGCACACAGGACGUACACAAUGGCUGCGCAUGGAGUUAAUGACAUGAAAGUGCCACACUGACGUCUGCCCGUCCUGAGUAGCUGUUAACCCCGGGCAUUUUAUUGCCCCAUUUGCCAGGUGAUUCAACUGAGGAGGGGAAGUGACUUUCCCACGAUCUCGGGGGUUAAGACGAUGCAGAACCCGGACUCCAGCCCACUGAUUCUGUUUUCAAGUCUCACACCUCUCUUCGUAGGUCUCUCAUCUCAGCCGCCUACGAAGGUCAAAUCCUGCAUAUUUACGCCAAACUUGAGAGUUGACCAAGUGCCUUUCCCAUGCAUCUUCCUGUUUCACCCCAAGCCGAAAGGUUUGGAAAACAUGCCACCCUUUUAACCUCGGAGAGACUUCUGCCUGGGAAAAGAAUGAAGUGAAAUAAACUCUUUUGAGGGCCUGUGAUCAACCAGGCCCCUCCCCUUUGUCACCCACCUGGUGCUGCCGAGGGAGGUGCUAGGGGUUGGCGGAGGGAUCUAGGGGGCUAGUGGGAACACGGGGCCAGGGUUUCAGUCUGGGAAGAAGGAAAAGCGCUGGAGAUGAUGGGGUGGUGAUGGUUACAUAACGAUGUGAAGAUACUCAAUGCCAGGGAACCGGGCAUUUAAAAACGAUUAGAUGGCCUGUUUCCUCCUAUGCGUAUUUUAACCACAAUUAAAAAAAAAAAAUCGGCUAAACGAGAUGUGUUUGUGAGCCCAGUCUGGCCUGAGGGCUGCCUGAGUGACCACAGGAGACGGGAAACUCUCUGAGAUCGGACCCCACCCACCAGCCACCGUCCUGCCAUCGUCCCCUUGGCUGCCCGAGCAAGAGCGUUUACGAGGAGUUCUUUUCAAAAGGCGCACACCCUCUCAGUCUGAGCAGAGGCUCUUUAACUGCUGGGCAAAAGCCGUGGAUACGGGGCUGUGGUACUUCAGGCAGCUUGGGGUGCUUUGGUCAUUGGCGGGGGGCGGGGGCGGCAAUCCGUGGACACAGCUGCCCGGAGUGACUUAUGUUUCGCAAAGAAGAAAUGUCCUCUUACUGUGGAAGCAAGAAGAAGGCUGGCUUCUGGACCUUCCCAGGCGGCCAGAGCCCGUCCUGCAACAAGAACCCAGGCCACGUUGGUGGCCGCAGAAAGCGCCUCCUCUGCUGGAGGACAUGACGAGGGAGGGGCUCGUCAGGGGUCCGAGCUGAUGGGGACACCGGAUGGCAGGCAGUUACAUCCAUUUUACAGAUGAGGCACAGAGGCCCGGGAAAGCCAAGGGGUGGCCUCAAAGUCACCGGCCAGUGAGAGGCAGAGCUGGGUCUCUGGGUUCCUUAACAGAGUCCGUUCCUUCCAGACGUGGGGUGCUUGAGCCUUGGUGGGCUCCCAGUCUCACCAGAGAGGCCAGUGAACUCCACGGCCCCUCCUCCCAGGAGCGUGCUCACACACCCCAUUUUUUGUCACAGGCUGGCCCACAGGGAGCUCGAUAAUAGCGAGGUGACUGCUCAGAUUUCUUUUAAGCCAUGAUUGUGCCAGGUCCCGCAUCACCCAUCUUGGGCAGAACAGGAAGGCAUGCUUGUGGCAGAGAGCCCUGCCCAGCAGACAUCAGCACGCACGGGAGAGGGGCAGGGUCGCGUUUACCCAGCGCCAAUGAUCCCAGGCACAGGGGAAGAAGCAUCUUCGUGUUCAGGGCGCCUUUUGCAGCUCAUUCAGUCAUUGGAAGGAAACUGUCAAGUAGGCAGGCACUGGGACUCUCCAACAGACCAAGAAGCAGAAAUUCCAAGGAGGUGACAAGGCUGUGCAGGGACACAGCUGAGGAGGGGCCAAGCCAGCCAGGACCUUGGGGACUCCAGCGUGCCAGCUCCCUCCACCACCCCGUCCGUGCCCAUACACAUGGGCCUCCGACAGCCAACAGCCAUCACGUUGGUCCCCUGGUUGGUAUGAUACAGAGGAGAGACGUUCCCAAGGGUGACUUGAAAUGGGAAGCUGUCGCUUGCCUUGUAGCUCAGUUCCCCGAGGGGGUGACAAAUAACGGGACCACCUGGGCUCCACUGGCUGGUUGCGAAGGAUGUAAAUAUUUUCCAGGUUGCCGUGCUUGCCUCUGUGCUGUCUUCUUUCCUAAAACGACAACAACAAACCAGGGAGAUGAGUUCUUAAAGGGACCAUACCAAUGAGCAUGGUUUUCUGCGUGAAGUCAUCGGAACACACAAGCCUUUAAGACGCUGGGAGGCCCACUCUCUCCUCGAUGUGUAUGGGCUCACAUCAUGAUAGCUGCAUACAAUUCCCCAGCUGCUCUCCAUGAGAAAUAACCUUAGGAGUUCCCACUGUGGCUCAUGCGUGAAGGAUCCAGCGUCUCUAUGAGGAUGUGGGUUUGAUCCCUGGCCUCGCUGAGUGGAUUGAGGAUCUGGCGUUACCAUCAGUUGUGACACAGGUUGCAGAUGCAGCUUGGACCCAGUGUUGCCAUGGCUGUGAUGUAGGCUGGCAGGUGCACCUCCAACUCAACCCCCAGCCUGGAAACGUCCAUAUGCCACAGGUGCAGCUGUAUGAAUAAAUAACUAAAUAAAUAUAACCUUAGUUUGGAAU
This 2684-nucleotide long non-coding RNA is filed under the name Sus scrofa (pig). RNAcentral's name for it is "lncRNA (ENSSSCG00015020965.1)". The record is from RNAcentral. Lineage: Eukaryota; Metazoa; Chordata; Mammalia; Artiodactyla; Suidae.